RNAcentral lists this transfer RNA (72 nucleotides) under Lepidophyma flavimaculatum (yellow-spotted night lizard). RNAcentral's name for it is "tRNA-Ile". It matches the Rfam family "tRNA". From Rfam's summary of the family: Transfer RNA (tRNA) molecules are approximately 80 nucleotides in length. The record is from RNAcentral. Lineage: Eukaryota; Metazoa; Chordata; Lepidosauria; Squamata; Xantusiidae.
GGAACUGUGCCCGAAAACCCAGGGACUACUUUGAUAGAGUAGAUUAUAGGGGUUCAACCCCCCUCAUUUCCU